AUCCCAUGAUGAGGACACUUAUGAAGUAACUCCUUGAAUCACUCCCAAGCCUCAUACAAAGACUCAUCAUCCAAUUUUUGGAAAAUUGUGAUAUCGGUCCUCAACUU
Molecule: non-coding RNA, 107 nt
Organism: Gossypium arboreum
Lineage: Eukaryota; Viridiplantae; Streptophyta; Magnoliopsida; Malvales; Malvaceae
Source: Rfam